AAAUAGCUCAGUUGGGAGAGCGUCAGACUGAAAAUCUGAAGGUCCCUACUUCAAUCCGCAGAGUUU
Molecule: non-coding RNA, 66 nt
Organism: Nematostella vectensis (starlet sea anemone)
Lineage: Eukaryota; Metazoa; Cnidaria; Anthozoa; Actiniaria; Edwardsiidae
Source: Rfam